GUCUGCGGCCAUACCGCCCUGACCGUGCCCCAUCUCAGAAGCUAAGCAGGGUCGGACCUGGUUAGUACUUGGAUGGGAGACACGGACGCCGUUUCAGGUC
This 100-nucleotide ribosomal RNA is filed under the name Oryctolagus cuniculus (rabbit). Lineage: Eukaryota; Metazoa; Chordata; Mammalia; Lagomorpha; Leporidae. The record is from RNAcentral.